CUUCCCACCAGUAUUUCGUUACAUUUAUUAUUGUGUGACAGAUGACAGCAGAGGGGCAGAAUGGUGUCUGACAUGGAACUCCUGAUGAAGCAAGGGUGUGUCCUUGAAUUCCUCCACGUCGAAAAAAUGGCACCGUUGACAUUCAUUGACACUUGCUGAAUGUUUGUGGAGACCAAUCAGUAGAGGGCUGAAAGCUUGGAGAGACAGGAGGAUGCGCAGCAUAUGUGUGCAGCCUUAAUAUCCAAGGUGGCCUGGAGAAGGAUAUGAGCACUACUUUAUAUUGGCAGUGGCAGGCAGAACUCAGUAUGCAAAGUACAAUGACGUUUUGUGAGUGGAGGUGAUCUGAAAAGUCACAGUUUAAUCAUGUGUUAUCAAAAUUGAAGUAUAUGCAUGGACCUAUUCUAAGAACUAAAUUAAAAUACUGUCUAAAAUCUGAUAUGUUUUCACUGCAGAGAAUGGAAGAUUUUUCGUUUUCUCCGAUUGCAUUUUUAUUUCCCAAGAAAAUUGUUACAGAACUUGCUGUCUUCUUGCAGAGGUGACACUGUGCUUCAGAAUACAGCAGGGAAUACUACUGCAUACUACUGUGGGUGUCUUUUUUAUUGAACUAGUGUGCAAGUUGAGAGCCAGCUUCACAGACUUGUCAUUGAACAUUGUGGUGCAUAUUGUUGUUCCCAGGUUGUCUAGAGGACAUUAUUGAAUAGAUCUGGAAAAUAAAUAAAUAACCCCCAACUGUGUUCAGAAGG
Long non-coding RNA from Gallus gallus (chicken), 743 nucleotides. The record is from Ensembl. Lineage: Eukaryota; Metazoa; Chordata; Aves; Galliformes; Phasianidae.